This 377-nucleotide unclassified non-coding RNA is filed under the name soil metagenome. RNAcentral's name for it is "partial contains 5.8S ribosomal RNA, internal transcribed spacer 2, and large subunit ribosomal RNA". The stretch from base 1 to 120 matches the Rfam family "5.8S ribosomal RNA", at positions 35 to 154 of the family's 154-position model. The record is from RNAcentral.
GAUGAAGAACGUAGCGAAAUGCGAUAAGUAAUGUGAAUUGCAGAAUUCAGUGAAUCAUCGAAUCUUUGAACGCAUCUUGCGCUCCUUGGUAUUCUGAGGAGCAUGCCUGUUUGAGUGCCAUUAAAUUCUCAACCGCACUGACUUUGAAUUGGUGUGGCUUGGAUUUGGGGGGAAAAUUGUUGUGGGCUUUUUUGUAUAGUCUGCUCACCUGAAAUUGAUUAGCGGUACCUUUGUGGAACUGUCUACAGGUGUGAUAAUUAUCUACAUCCUAGACAUCUGCUGGAAUGCUGCUUUCUAAACCUUACUUGUAUUGACAAUCUUGACCUCAAAUCAGGUAGGACUACCCGCUGAACUUAAGCAUAUCAAUAAGCGGAGGA